UACGUAGGGUGCAAGCGUUGUCCGGAAUUACUGGGCGUAAAGAGCUCGUAGGUGGUUUGUCGCGUUGUCCGUGAAAACUCACAACUCAAUUGUGGGCGUGCGGGCGAUACGGGCAGACUGGAGUACUGCAGGGGAGACUGGAAUUCCUGGUGUAGCGGUGGAAUGCGCAGAUAUCAGGAGGAACACCGGAGUGGCAAGGCGGGUCUCUGGGCCACUAACUGACGCUGAGAAGCGAAAGCAUGGGGAGCGAACAGG
Molecule: ribosomal RNA, 255 nt
Filed under: uncultured bacterium
Lineage: Bacteria
Description: partial 16S ribosomal RNA
Rfam family: Bacterial small subunit ribosomal RNA
Source: RNAcentral